AUACGGAGGAUGCGAGCGUUAUCCGGAUUUAUUGGGUUUAAAGGGUGCGUAGGCUGUGCGUUAAGUCAGGGGUGAAAUGUCGUCGCUCAACGACGGAGCUGCCCUUGAUACUGGCGUGCUGGAGUACGGAUGCCGUUGGAGGAAUGAGUGGUGUAGCGGUGAAAUGCUUAGAUAUCACUCAGAACACCGAUUGCGAAGGCAUCUGACGAAUCCGUCACUGACGCUGAGGCACGAAAGCGUGGGGAUAGAACAGGAUUAGAUACCCUGGUAUUCCACGCCGUAAACGAUGAUGACUAACCGUCGGCGAUAGACAGCCGGUGGCCAAGCGAAAGCGAUAAGUCAUCCACCUGGGGAGUACGUCGGCAACGAUGAAACUCAAAGGAAUUGACGGGG
Molecule: ribosomal RNA, 393 nt
Filed under: uncultured bacterium
Lineage: Bacteria
Description: partial 16S ribosomal RNA
Rfam family: Bacterial small subunit ribosomal RNA
Source: RNAcentral